RNAcentral lists this ribosomal RNA (516 nucleotides) under uncultured bacterium. RNAcentral's name for it is "bacterial SSU rRNA". It matches the Rfam family "Bacterial small subunit ribosomal RNA", at positions 8 to 518 of the family's 1533-position model. The record is from RNAcentral.
AGAGUUUGAUCCUGGCUCAGGAUGAACGCUAGCGACAGGCUUAACACAUGCAAGUCGAGGGGCAGCAUAGAAGUAGCAAUACUUGGUGGCGACCGGCGCACGGGUGAGUAACGCGUAUGCAACCUACCUAUCAGAGGGGAAUAACCCGGCGAAAGUCGGACUAAUACCGCAUAAAACAGGGGCACCGCAUGGUGAUAUUUGUUAAAGAAAUUCGCUGAUAGAUGGGCAUGCGUUCCAUUAGGUAGUUGGUGAGGUAACGGCUCACCAAGCCGACGAUGGAUAGGGGAACUGAGAGGUUGGUCCCCCACACUGGUACUGAGACACGGACCAGACUCCUACGGGAGGCAGCAGUGAGGAAUAUUGGUCAAUGGGCGGGAGCCUGAACCAGCCAAGUCGCGUGAAGGAAGAAGGAUCUAUGGUUCGUAAACUUCUUUGCAGGGGAAUAAAGUGCAGGACGUGUCCUGUUUUGUAUGUACCCUGAGAAUAAGGAUCGGCUAACUCCGUGCCAGCCGCCGC